CCCCUAAACAAAUAUAUACUAGUCCAGUGAUAAUGAACGCCAUACUAAUUUCCAAAUUGUACACAAGAAACUAAAAUUAAAAUAAUACAAGACUAACAAAGGCCAGAGGCUCCUGACUUGGGACAGGCUCAAAAACGCGGCGGGGUUAAACAUGUUUGUGAGAUCUCAACCCUCCCCCUAUACCUCUAACCAAUGUAGAAAAGUAAACGCAUAACAAUACGCACAUUAAAAUUCAGUUCAAGAGAAGUCCGAGUCUGAUGUCAGAAGAUGUAACCAAAGAAAAUAAACAAAAUGACAAUAAUACAUAAAUAACAACAGACUACUAGCAGUUAACUGACAUACCAGCUCCAGACUUCAAUUAAACUGACUGA
This 371-nucleotide long non-coding RNA is filed under the name Mytilus galloprovincialis (Mediterranean mussel). The record is from RNAcentral. Lineage: Eukaryota; Metazoa; Mollusca; Bivalvia; Mytilida; Mytilidae.